This 16-nucleotide ribosomal RNA is filed under the name Pisolithus albus. RNAcentral's name for it is "partial 28S ribosomal RNA". The record is from RNAcentral. Lineage: Eukaryota; Fungi; Basidiomycota; Agaricomycetes; Boletales; Pisolithaceae.
CAUAUCAAAAGCCGGG